RNAcentral lists this ribosomal RNA (317 nucleotides) under uncultured bacterium. Its description in RNAcentral is "bacterial SSU rRNA". It matches the Rfam family "Bacterial small subunit ribosomal RNA", at positions 28 to 334 of the family's 1533-position model. The record is from RNAcentral.
GACGAACGCUAGCUACAGGCUUAACACAUGCAAGUCGAGGGGCAGCAUGAAAGGAACUUCGGUUCUUUUUGAUGGCGACCGGCGCACGGGUGCGUAACGCGUAUCGAACCUGCCUCAUACUCGGGGAUAGCCUUGCGAAAGUAAGAUUAAUACCCGGCGGUCUCGGACGGCCGCAUGACAGUCCGAGUGAAGAUUUAUCGGUAUGAGAUGGCGAUGCGUCCCAUUAGCUAGUUGGUGAGGUAACGGCUCACCAAGGCAACGAUACAUAGGGGGACUGAGAGGUUAACCCCCCACACUGGUACUGAGACACGGACCAG